GAUUAUUUAGUAUAAAUUAAUUACUCCAGACUGUAAAUCUGAAAAUGGCCAUGCCAAUAAUCA
This 63-nucleotide transfer RNA is filed under the name Brachionus manjavacas. RNAcentral describes it as "tRNA-Tyr". Lineage: Eukaryota; Metazoa; Rotifera; Eurotatoria; Ploima; Brachionidae. The record is from RNAcentral.